RNAcentral lists this ribosomal RNA (253 nucleotides) under uncultured bacterium. RNAcentral's name for it is "partial 16S ribosomal RNA". It matches the Rfam family "Bacterial small subunit ribosomal RNA", at positions 524 to 776 of the family's 1533-position model. The record is from RNAcentral.
UACGUAGGGUGCAAGCGUUAAUCGGAAUUACUGGGCGUAAAGCGUGCGCAGGCGGUUUUGUAAGUCUGACGUGAAAUCCCCGGGCUCAACCUGGGAAUUGCGAUGGAGACUGCAAGGCUUGAAUCUGGCAGAGGGGGGUAGAAUUCCACGUGUAGCAGUGAAAUCCGUAGAGAUGUGGUGGAACACCGAUGGCGAAGGCAGCCCCCUGGGUCAAGAUUGACGCUCAUGCACGAAAGCGUGGGGAGCAAACAGG